This 63-nucleotide transfer RNA is filed under the name Gekko trinotaterra. RNAcentral describes it as "tRNA-Trp". Lineage: Eukaryota; Metazoa; Chordata; Lepidosauria; Squamata; Gekkonidae. The record is from RNAcentral.
AAAUUUAGGUUAUUUAAACCAAAGGCCUUCAAAGCCUUAAAUAGGUAAGCCACCUAAUUUCUG